GCUCUCCAUUCAUCAUCCCCUGCCAUCACCUCACCCCCGUCCCAAAUCCGCGGCGACCUCAAUAGAAAACUAAAAGCCGCCUCCUUUACCUAACGGAGAAGCAAAAAUUCGCGGAUUGCCCCGUCCGAUCGCCGGGGAAUCGACCCGACGCGGCCCGACCGAACGGCUCAUGGCCGGAACCGAGCGGCCCCACCGCCCGAUCGGCGCGCCGCGGCCAGGCGCCGGCGGCGGCGACUCGCCGGCGAGGUGGGACGACGACGGCGGCCGCGUCGAAGGCCUGGCUGGAUUCAAUAUAUUUGACCAAGAGGAAGAAGAGUCACCAGACAAAAAUGGCACAGCCAACGGCCAUGAUACAACCGAAACUGUCAUAGAGACAGAACCAGGAAAGUGUUUCUAUGAUGAACCGCUUCACGAGCAUACAGGCAUCUGGGUGCCUGUUUCUGUCCCUCCGAUGACUGCGCAGGACCGUGAGGAGUGGCACAGGGGGUUUGGUUACAAUAGCGGGUACUUCCCGGAAGAAGAGUUUAGCUGGGAGCUGGAUGAAGAGAAUAAAGAGAUGACAAUGUGGGAUGUGUUUGCCGAUAUGGUUGUUGCAGCAAAAGAUAAAGUGAUAUCUGCUGCAACAUAUGAUUUUGGGAGGUGCGGGAUGUCAGUGGUAUCCAACUUCUUUCUCCAAGAAGCCUGGAAGGAUAUGGCGCAAACACUUGCAGAUGCCAAUGCUGGUAUUGCAAACGAGCUACUUGAGACAGAGCCAACAAAGUGGUUGCCUGACAGUGCUGCUACCUCUUGCAUGCUCUGUGGCAUGCGGUUUCAUCCUAUAAUGUGCUCUCGCCAUCAUUGUCGUUUCUGUGGUGGAGUAUUUUGCAAUGGUUGUACAAAGGGUAGAAGCUUAAUGCCUCCAAAAUUUAGGACUUCAGAACCUCAAAGGGUUUGUGAUGUCUGUGGAGUGCGGCUUGAGAGUAUACAACCACAAUUGAUGAAUCAGAUCAGUCGUGCAUCUCAACUUCCAACUCGGGAUGUGACAGACCUGAGUACCUUGAGGUCAUGGUUGAACUUCCCUUGGGCACACACAAUGGAAUAUGAGAUAUACAAAGCUGCAAAUUCUUUACGCAGCUACUGCAAGGUGGGAAGACUGAAGCCAGAGAAGGCUAUCCCUGAUGCUAUUCUUAGACAAGCAAAAGGUUUUGCUAUAGUUACUGUGGUAAAGGUCGGAAUGAUGGUUACAUAUAAGCUUGGUACUGGGCUGGUUGUUGCUCGAAGGGCUGAUGGCUCCUGGUCACCUCCUUCAGCAAUCUCCACCUGUGGUGUUGGAUAUGGAGCUCAGGCUGGAGGUGAGAUAGCUGACUUCAUCAUUGUGCUGAGGAAUACGGAUGCCAUCAGAACAUUCAGUGGGAAGGCACAUCUAUCUGUUGGUGCUGGUGUUAGUGCUUCUGCUGGUCAUGUCGGACGAGUAGCUGAGGCUGACUUCCGUGCUGGUGAUGGUGGUUAUGCUGCAUGUUACACAUACAGUUGUAGCAAAGGUGAUCAAGUUUUGAGCUACCAUGGGCUUGUUCUUGUUUGUGGAAAUUAGCAAUGCUAAAGGCGUUAUGAUAAGCUUAAGGAAAGCUGGGAGCACUGGGCAAUUUUCUUUCACAAGGCCAAGGCAGGUGCCUUUGUGGGCUGUGCAUUCAAUGGCAGCAUAGUAUCAACUCGAGACACUGAGAACGCUCGAUUUUACGGCGGCCCUGUCAAGGCCGCUGACAUCCUUCUCGGAUCCAUGGCCAGGCCGCCUGCAGCCUCCCCUCUGUACAAAGCUCUUUCAGAAUUGAUGGACAGGGUUGGGAAGUAACCCUCUCAUGCUUUAGGCAUCUGGCAUGCUAUCACCGCCUCCUUGUAAAUACAUUCAGGGCUUCAGAUUUGUGCUCAUCACACAUUCAUUGGAAGCGAUUUCGCAACUGUACAGUAUGCCAUUCUUCAACACAUCAAGGCUCUCUUCUUUGAUUAGUGUUUAGUGGGUUCCAAAAACAAACCCACUUUGUAAAUACUUGUACAUUGGAUUGACAAUUGCAACAUGAUAUUGGUAUGAAAGAGAAAAAA
This is an RNA transcript of Panicum virgatum (switchgrass), 2076 nucleotides long. RefSeq lists it as uncharacterized. The record is from RefSeq and is a predicted model, not a curated record. Lineage: Eukaryota; Viridiplantae; Streptophyta; Magnoliopsida; Poales; Poaceae. The transcript is spliced from 6 exons.